CCUACGGGAGGCAGCAGUAAGGAAUAUUGGUCAAUGGACGCAAGUCUGAACCAGCCAUGCCGCGUGAAGGAUUAAGGCCCUCUGGGUUGUAAACUUCUUUUAUAGGGGACGAAAAAAGGGCAUUCUUGCUCACUUGACGGUACCCUAGGAAUAAGCACCGGCUAACUCCGUGCCAGCAGCCGCGGUAAUACGGAGGGUGCAAGCGUUAUCCGGAUUUACUGGGUUUAAAGGGUGCGUAGGUGGGUUGGUAAGUCAGUGGUGAAAUCUUCGAGCUUAACUCGGAAACUGCCAUUGAUACUAUCAAUCUUGAAUCAUCUAGAGGUAAGCGGAAUAUGUCAUGUAGCGGUGAAAUGCUUAGAUAUGACAUAGAACACCAAUUGCGAAGGCAGCUUACUAUGGAUGUAUUGACACUGAGGCACGAAAGCGUGGGGAUCAAACAGGAUUAGAUACCCUGGUAGUCCACGCCCUAAACGAUGGAUACUCGACAUUUGUGAUAUACUAUAAGUGUCUGAGCGAAAGCAUUAAGUAUCCCACCUGGAAGUACGACCGCAAGGUUGAAACUCAAAGGAAUUGACGG
RNAcentral lists this ribosomal RNA (577 nucleotides) under uncultured bacterium. RNAcentral describes it as "bacterial SSU rRNA". It matches the Rfam family "Bacterial small subunit ribosomal RNA", at positions 338 to 916 of the family's 1533-position model. The record is from RNAcentral.